RNAcentral lists this ribosomal RNA (654 nucleotides) under uncultured Clostridium sp. Its description in RNAcentral is "bacterial SSU rRNA". It matches the Rfam family "Bacterial small subunit ribosomal RNA", at positions 56 to 725 of the family's 1533-position model. The record is from RNAcentral. Lineage: Bacteria; Bacillati; Bacillota; Clostridia; Eubacteriales; Clostridiaceae.
UGCAAGUCGAGCGAGUGAAUCUCCUUCGGGAGUGAAGCUAGCGGCGGACGGGUGAGUAACACGUGGGCAACCUGCCUCAUAGAGGGGAAUAGCCUUCCGAAAGGAAGAUUAAUACCGCAUAAGAUUGUAGCUUCGCAUGAAGUAGCAAUUAAAGGAGCAAUCCGCUAUGAGAUGGGCCCGCGGCGCAUUAGCUAGUUGGUGAGGUAACGGCUCACCAAGGCGACGAUGCGUAGCCGACCUGAGAGGGUGAUCGGCCACAUUGGGACUGAGACACGGCCCAGACUCCUACGGGAGGCAGCAGUGGGGAAUAUUGCACAAUGGGGGAAACCCUGAUGCAGCAACGCCGCGUGAGUGAUGACGGCCUUCGGGUUGUAAAGCUCUGUCUUCAGGGACGAUAAUGACGGUACCUGAGGAGGAAGCCACGGCUAACUACGUGCCAGCAGCCGCGGUAAUACGUAGGUGGCGAGCGUUGUCCGGAUUUACUGGGCGUAAAGGGAGCGUAGGCGGACUUUUAAGUGAGAUGUGAAAUACCCGGGCUCAACUUGGGUGCUGCAUUUCAAACUGGAAGUCUAGAGUGCAGGAGAGGAGAAUGGAAUUCCUAGUGUAGCGGUGAAAUGCGUAGAGAUUAGGAAGAACACCAGUGGCGAAGGCGAU